UCAUUAAUAAAGUAGAUUCGGGACUAGAAAGGACAUACAUUAACUUUGGAAAUUGAGGUGACAACAAAUAUUUUUAAAGAAAGAGUUAAAACUCAAAAUGACCUUAAAGACUGGUCUGAAGGGAGAAAUCCAAAUGGCAUUCAACAGUUACAGAAGGUACUGCAUUCAGGCUAGAAUAAUCAAGUAUACGACUAUAUGGCUAUAUAUUUCCCUUGGCUAUACAGUGGAAAUCUGAUCAGUAGCAGUUCUGGAGAGGAAGAUAUGAGGGUAAUGGUGGAUCACAAGCUGACACUCAGUCAAGAAGGUUAUGUUGCUGCAAAAAAGGUUGGCAUCAUACUGACAGGAAAGUAGCUUGCAAGGUAUAUUAAAUAAUCCUUUUGAAGCUCAUUGGUAAAAUCUCAGCUGGAAUACUUGGACAUUAUAGACUAAGUAGUCUUCAAACACUUCUGAGAAGAAGAUAUAAUCAAUAUGUUCUUCUAAUGCACUUGAGAAAGAAAUGGGAUGUUCAGCCUAGCUCUGAGAAAAGCAUGGCAAACCACUGAGUGGGCGGUCUAUGAAGGUCCAGGAGCAUCAGCUGCUGGAAAUCUUUAAGAACAGGUCAGACAUAUAUCUGUGAGAUAUGACCCUGACAGGGAAGGUCCUGCUGCGGGGUGAAGAGUAAGCUUCUUCUUUUCUUGAGGCCCCUUUCAGCUCUAAAGUCUGCUUCCUGCCCAGACAUGAACCUGCAUCCUCUGCUAUUACCCCUAUCCUGCUUGCCCGCCACUGCCUGACCUCACCCAUCCGUUCGCAGGAACACGUUUGCUAGCUUCCAGCAGGUCACUUACAUCCAGUUUCACUUUUCUGCAUGUUCUUUUUCUCAUUCCUCAUUUUUCCCCUUUCCCUGAUGCCUUUUCCCCUUGCUUUCCCUCAACACUUUGCUUCGUCUCACUCACAGAGAUCCUCUGCCCUGUCCCAGCACCUGACUCCUUGACCUUCUCUGCAGACAGAUGGAACAGGAGAUGGUGAAGGUCACUUUUCAUCGUAUUGCUCGUGCCAAGGAAAUGGAUGAGAAAUCUCCACUCCCAGGUCUCUUUGUUAUUGCUCCAGAGUGUCUGCAGACUUGGAUCCAUACAAGUCCUGUGGUACUCCUGCGAUAUGGUUGUCUGAGUCAGCUACCACCAACCUGCCAGUACCUCGUGUUUCCCACUGGCAAAGCUAAGGGUGAGGACCCCAUCAAAGACAAGCCCUGGCCCAUCUCACCUUCCCCAAAUUACUGGUCACACAUGGCAGAAGAGAGCUGACUGGAGAAGGGGAAACUUGGCACUGGGACACGGGCUGCUGCUUUCUGGGCUUGGUGCCAUGAGAGCUGAUGGGGAGCACUGGGCAGGCACUGAGGGUGAAGGUGGCCUUUGGUGUGGUUAGACUGGGGACAGAAAACAGUGGUGCUGCCCUAACACAGCUCUCAAAUAUUUUCAUGCAUACAAAAUCAGAGUUAUUUCUCUGCUCUGAACAGCUUUGCACUCUCCAUGUUAGUUUUCUUGUGUACCUUUGCAAAGCAGUGAACUCGUGCUUACGACAACAUCUGUAACCUUGAGCACUGGCACACUGAUUUUUCUCUUCUCUGUUUCAGUCUUGCCAUUCUCCUUCACAGAAACCCCAAGGCUGUUUGAAACAAAAAAUGUAACUGUCUGUAAAAUGCAGUAUGUGAAGGCAGUGCAAGGGCAACAGGAUUUGCUUGUAAAUAAAAUCCCAACCCAAAAAUUCA
Long non-coding RNA from Anser brachyrhynchus (Pink-footed goose), 1744 nucleotides. The record is from Ensembl. Lineage: Eukaryota; Metazoa; Chordata; Aves; Anseriformes; Anatidae.